RNAcentral lists this ribosomal RNA (247 nucleotides) under uncultured Streptococcus sp. RNAcentral describes it as "partial 16S ribosomal RNA". It matches the Rfam family "Bacterial small subunit ribosomal RNA", at positions 1137 to 1382 of the family's 1533-position model. The record is from RNAcentral. Lineage: Bacteria; Bacillati; Bacillota; Bacilli; Lactobacillales; Streptococcaceae.
ACUCUAGCGAGACUGCCGGUAAUAAACCGGAGGAAGGUGGGGAGUGACGUCAAUCAUCAUGCCCUUAUGACCUGGGCUACACACGUGCUACAAUGGUUGGUACAACGAGUUGCGAGUCGGUGACGGCGAGCUAAUCUACUUAAAGCCAAUCUCAGUUCGGAUUGUAGGCUGCAACUCGCCUACAUGAAGUCGGAAUCGCUAGUAAUCGCGGAUCAGCACGCCGCGGUCGAAUACGUUCCCGGGCCUU